CCCUUCGCGCUGGAUUGUCAGCGUCUGGCGGAGAAGGGCGCGUUGCUGUGUGGGAGAGAGGACAGGCGUGAUGGAGGUGGCGGCGAUUCAUCGUCAUAUGACCCGCUGCGGGAGAAAAAAAAUGAGAGACAUGACGAGGAUGGUGUACUAUCGAAGAAGAGUAGAGACGCAAAGCGAAUAGCUCUGAGCCUGCCACCGACACCCGAUCAACCAAUGCACGGGAAAUGAACGGUUUGGAUUAGCCGGUGACGUGGCUUAAUGAGGGCGCGAGAAAUACCUGAGAACCUGACCAGCUUUCGUAUUAUAGAGAUGUCCCCUCUCGUCAUGGUGUGUACAUGACCAGCAACAAGUCAAUUGUGAAUAGUCAAAUCUUCGUAGAGGGGCCACGCCAUGACGACAUGCCGAACUUCCAGCAUCUAUUUGUAACUUCUUUCUCCCUCCCUCUGUCUCUAGCUGUCAGCUUGGAAUGAUUCAACCACACACCCCUAUAUAACGGGUUCCACGCUACCACUACUUCAC
This 519-nucleotide long non-coding RNA is filed under the name Setaria italica (foxtail millet). Its description in RNAcentral is "long non-coding RNA (SITA_LNC003874)". The record is from RNAcentral. Lineage: Eukaryota; Viridiplantae; Streptophyta; Magnoliopsida; Poales; Poaceae.